RNAcentral lists this ribosomal RNA (253 nucleotides) under uncultured bacterium. Its description in RNAcentral is "partial 16S ribosomal RNA". It matches the Rfam family "Bacterial small subunit ribosomal RNA", at positions 524 to 776 of the family's 1533-position model. The record is from RNAcentral.
AACGUAGGAGGCGAGCGUUAUCCGGAUUCACUGGGCGUAAAGCGCAUGUAGGCGGUUGUUCAAGUCGGACGUAAAAGCCCCUGGCUCAACUGGGGGAGGAGGUUCGAGACUGAGCGACUUGAGGGUAGCAGAGGAGAGUGGAACUCCCGGUGUAGCGGUGGAAUGCGUAGAGAUCGGGAAGAACACCAGUGGCGAAGGCGACUCUCUGGGCUACGACUGACGUUGAGAUGCGAAAGCGUGGGGAGCAAACGGG